This 2626-nucleotide long non-coding RNA is filed under the name Salmo salar (Atlantic salmon). Its description in RNAcentral is "lncRNA (ENSSSAG00000098106.1, ENSSSAG00000109647.1)". Lineage: Eukaryota; Metazoa; Chordata; Actinopteri; Salmoniformes; Salmonidae. The record is from RNAcentral.
CCUACCUCUUCAACGAGUAUUUUAAAUAAUCCCACAGUACCCCCAAAAAAUGCCUUUCGUAAACUACCAUUUUUCUUCAUAACUAGCUCUGACUUUGCUGAUAGCUAUUUUAUUGAGGGAAAAUGUAUUUACUAUGACUGUGAUAUGCGGUCGUCCCACAUAUUUUAAAAUGAACGCAGUAAUUGUAAGUCGCUCUGGAUAAGAGGCUAAGAGCAUCUGCUAAAUGUCAAAAACACUCUUCACGAUACUUUAGUAAGGUUAGGAGAAUUAAAAUAGCAGGUUAGGAGACUGAGGUCAGGAAAAGGGUUCAGGGUUAUCAAAAAUGCUCUCCUAACAUGCUACGAACACUUUGCAUCGAAGUGGAGUGAAAAGUGUCCUUAAAACAACAGUUUAUGUUGAUUACUUUUUUCAAAUCCAAUGCAUUUUCCACGUAUAUUCCACUACACAAUAAAUUGUAAAAACAUUUUCAAAUCCAAUGUAUUUUCCACGUAUAUUCCACUACACAAUAAAUUGUACAAUUAUGUUGAAACAACAUUGAUUUAAUCCGUUUGUGCCUGUGGGAUGACACAGCCAGCGUCAUCUGGGUUCUUUGCAGCGUCCUCUAGUUCAGACAACAUCCAAACAUAUUUCUGACAAACACUGACGACAUUCAGAUCCUUCUGUUCUCCGCCACUGCCCUGCCCACCUCCCUCCCCUUCCUCUCUCUGUUCUCUCCUUUCCUCCUCCUGAAUAACGGUCAGAAACCGACUUCCUCUGACCACGCGCAGAACGGGGCUGUGUGACUACCCGGGGCAAGUGUCCUGCCCUGCCCACACAGCAAAAUAAAUUCAAUAUGUCGACCGCGAUGUCCCGUUAUAACGGAUUUAACGGCUCUCUGGCAAAGCAAGCGGGAUGAGUUUUAAGUUAUAGCUUGCUCGGUUGUUUGGAACAUUUUGAUUCUUGACUUUCUUCAUUUUUGUUUAGAAAACAAUAAGAUCCCCGCACGCCACAUGGAAAGCAAAAAGGAAGUGCAACUAGCUGAGGAAAAAUGGAGUAAAAAGAACACGGAGAGGUUUAGAAAGUAAAUAAUCAUCUCCUUAUCCUUUAUCCCUGGCUCGGCACUGGAGAAGCCUCUUCAGAAGAUUGUGAAUGAUGGUGUGAUGGUGUUGGAGGAGGAGUGUGGAGGUGUGUGUGAGCCAAGCCAGGGGGAAGCACCAUGCAGGCAGGAGGAGAGAAAGCGGCCAUCUCCCCAGGGUGUCCUGCUAUCUCUAGGCCCGGUGAUGAUGGUAGGAGGGGGCCGCACUCUAGAUGUAGUAGGGGGUUUCCUGACUUUCCUGACUCUGCAAGGUCCAGGGCUGUGGAUGGGGGUGCUGAUGGCUGUUACCGGGGCAACACUGACCAUCGCUGGGCUCUGUAUUUUAAUGACAACGCUACAGGUGUCGGAUGUACCUGGACACUUCCUGUUACACCCCCGCACAGGAACGCGCUAUAGCCCACACCAGGCCCUAGCCAUCCAGAGAAGGUUGGACCGGAUACGCAGAGAGAUGUCUGAGGACUCUGUGCGAGUGCCCCCCUCUCCACCCCUCCCCUUGCCCCCCACCCCUCCUCCCUGGGACCUGGAGGCACCCCCCUCCUACGACUCUGUCAUGAAGAGCCGGGGUCCCUCUGACCUCUGAGGGCUGAGGAGACUACUAUACUCUACUGUUCUGUAACUUUGGACUAUUCCCUUUGUGCCAUUACAGUGAAGUAAAUCAAGCACACCCGUGCUGGGAGAGACGUUGUUCUGGAAUGGAGGGGCUGUAAGGGGUUGGGCGCCUCAGCGUUGUUUACAUGUUAACAUGACAGGUUUACAUAUUUGUUUGAAGAAUGAGGAGUGUGUUUAUAAUGCUACUAUUAAGACUACUACAGUGUGGUACACUGCACUCCUAUAAAGACAUAUAUAACAAAUAUAUUUUUUUUUCUUACUUUCCACCACCUGAAGUUGUUUAUGUCACUUUUCAAGUCCGCUCGAUGCCCAUAUAUUUGUAGUGGCACACUGAGCUACACCAGGCAGCGAGGCCAGCUGGCAGCAUCUACCCAGCACUAAGCAUUCUCUAUGCAGCAGCACUCAGCCUUUAUUACCAGUCCAAAUGGAUAACCCAGCCUUUAAAACCACUGUCUGACUUUUUUGCUGCUUUGGACUCCAUUAGCUGUUUGUGCUGUGACUGCUUGGGGAGGUUGUGUCAUUCUCCAGUGUGUGAGUGCGGGUGUGUUUCUGUGGUCAUGUAUGCACCACGGAUUCUUUCUAUUCACACAGCUGACAUCAGGAUAGACGGAAGAUCUCAACCAGAAGUGCCUUGUUGUUACAGCACUAGACGCUUGUUGUCACAGCACACGGUUAUCCACAGCAUUAUUCUCUCUCUCUCUGCCCCAUUGCUGCAGGGUUCCAUUCUAUCCACUGUUGCACUUCCUGUUUGACUGUGAUGUCAUGAUCAACUUUAGUAAAUGAAUAGCCAAAGAUCUCUGAGUGGUUCUUGUCUCAGUUGGACUAAGUACAGUGUGUUAUUACUCAGUUUCUUUGUUCUGUUCUAACCUCACUUACACUUGAAGUAAAUGCUUUCUCAAGGAGAGAGGAAAAUAGGACAGAGAGUUGGGGAGCUGAGCUGUG